CAAGCGCAAGAAGUAGAAGAAGCUCAUCAAGGUAGGCAGCAGAGAAGGGUCAUGUCAUACCCAAAAACCACAUAGACAACAAAGAGAACGAGCUCAUCAAGGUUGCAACGCAAGGGGGUUGCCAGGCUGUUCAAUGCGUUGAGCAAAGCACAGAAUCCUCGGAAAGGUUUGAAUGAACCCAGCAAGAAGUAAAAACGCCAAAGGUGGAUCUUUCAAGAUUUUGAGUUGUGAGACUUAAAUUGGAUGAGCUGGUCCCGCAUUUUGUUUUAGAAAAAGAAAGAAAACAUAUUCCUUGUGGAACUGAAGAAAUUAUCUCAUCAAGAUCAAAAGUGGUAGGCCUCUUCUAACUUCUCUAAGGUAGUGACUACUAACUCUUUCUUUACUAAGAAUUGAUCCAUUUAGUUUACAUGCUUCUGAUGCUAAUAUAUUUUUUUCUAUCUUCAAAUUCAAGUUAGUUCACAUCAGGCGCAUAUCCGCUGCAUUUUUCUCUUGGCAAACAUUGUUUCAGGCUAAAAUUUCAAUGUCUGUUCUUAAAUAAAUCAACAGACUAACUGCACAGCAUGUCAUUUGAUGAACUUGUGACAGGAACAUGUUACUACUUUCCAUCACUACAUUUAUAGAUUGAUGGGUGGAAUUGUGUGCAAAAAAAUUCCAUACUGUAACUUGGCAUGAAACUUCAAGCAACAUCCAUAGCACACUACCGUCAUUAUGCACGUGAGUCUGAGCACGUAGUGUCAUGGAGCUCAACCCAUUAUAACUUCCCUUUGUUAAAGUUUGGGAUUGUGGCAAUGAGGGUUUUACCAUUAUGCAUUAAGAGAUGCAAGAGAUGUUGAGCAGCAAAAUUUAUAGCUAGACAACCUCUCGUAAGGGUGAGUAAGCUAUUUAACCCAUAGUUAUAAUGCUGGAUUGUUGAUCAAGCUAGCUAAGUUGCUAGUCCAUUGAUUGGACAAGUACAUUGUAAUUAGAGUAAUUACACUUAAUUAAUGUUCUAAAAGGUGGCCGCUUGGCCGUUGCUCUUUUGCCAGAGUCAGCAAAUUGGACGGAUUGGUGGACUUAGAGGGCCUAGGUGGGCUAUAUCUGGCAACUAUAACCAUCAGAGGAGUUGGCUGAUCAGCAGUGACCAUGGCCACCAUGACGACCUGCGCCAACACCUCCUUCCUCUCCUCCCUUUUCUCUCCUUGACAAAGGCGACAUGCCUGAUGUCCCCUUUACACUAGUCCGCUGCCUAGGUUCCCUAGGUGGUAGGUGGUACCCACCACCCUCACCACCUACCGUGUAACUUUUUAUAUCAUUGCACUUAACCCCUAGGUGGUUGUUCACAUGGUUUAGAAAACCUCAGAUUAAACUAUUGAAGUACAUUUUACACUAAGUCGCAUUAAUUCUGGUUUAAGAAACUUUCGUCCUAUUGUUUUAUUUGCAAAGGUUUGUGUUUAAAAAAACAUUUUUGAAAGAUUUGUAGUUGACAUGUAGACCUCUCAUCACAUGGCAAGAAUAACAAGGGGAAUUGGAAAAAAAUGGCACCCUAGGGUUUUCUUAAUCUUUUUAGCACCAAUUAAAGAUAUCAGGCGAAAUUUCUGCCUUCACAAAUUAAAAAGUCAGGUGAUGUGUAGUGACUCUUAGGCGAAUAGCUGUCUGAGCAACAUCAGAAUGUUUAAACCUACUUUAAGCAAUGUUUGUAUAUAUAAUUGAAUUUUAAUUCGCCUGGAGAUAGUUGAUCUACCUUUUUUUAAGCAAAUCGGGGAAGAUGAAGACGAACCAUGGUGAGCACCUCUGCGUGGCACAUACAUGCUUGGUUCUAAACUGAAGGACUGGGAUAAAAUGCACUAGGAUUCUGCUGUAGCGAGUGAACAAACUGAGGUCCCUUUGGGUGAAUCUUCUGAAGAGGCAUAGGAAAACAAAACAAAAAAAAUCCAGUCCAAGCAGCAUUAGAGAUUCUGUUCCUGCAUUCUGCUCUACACAGUGUAUUCUUCUCAUUGACUUGCAAAGCGAGAUCGGUCCUGGAUAUGCAAGUAAACCCUAAAUUUGCAGAUGGCACUUGUUUAUUGCAUUGUAUAUUUGUAUUUGGGGGUAAAUAUAGGUAGGUAAACAAAAGAAGGUAAGUAGUCCCACCCUUGGCCCUUCUCUAAUUACUUCGCAUGUAUUUGAACUUUUGAAGGUUUUGGAAUGGGUAAUCGGAUUCAGCAGUUGUCACCUAACAUAACCAUGUGUUAUGAGUUAGCUCAUGCGGAACCAAUUUGUCGUCAUGUUGGUACGAGUCAUUUGUAGUGUUUACCACAUUUUCUGAGUUUAGUUUGAUCUGUUACAUGGAUUUAAGCAAGAAAGUUCCAUAGGACUUUUGUGGGAAGUAUACAAAUACAAUGUCCCUAUGAAACUCCUGUAUCUCGAAUAAGAUAUGUGG
Molecule: long non-coding RNA, 2398 nt
Organism: Phragmites australis (common reed)
Lineage: Eukaryota; Viridiplantae; Streptophyta; Magnoliopsida; Poales; Poaceae
Exons: 6
Source: RefSeq, a predicted model, not a curated record